This 543-nucleotide long non-coding RNA is filed under the name Marmota monax (woodchuck). The record is from RNAcentral. Lineage: Eukaryota; Metazoa; Chordata; Mammalia; Rodentia; Sciuridae.
AGGUGGCCUGUCCUCACCCAAGCGCUCCGCGCGCCGCUUCCCCUUCGCACAGAGCUGCGGCGGGAGCUGAGCGAGCCCAGAGGAGGGCCCUGCGGACCGGAUCCCCCUGAAGAGGAGUAGGCUAGGGGCUGCUCUCCGUUCGGGGGUAGGAGGGGAACCAGACCCGGGCCCACAGGGCCGACUCGGGCGUUAGCCCCUUGGUGGCUCCUGUCCCCCGGACAGUACAGGCAGGGCAGGCACCUCCUGAUGACCACUGUGUUCCUGCGCUCCGGGGAUCUUCCCCGCUCUUCCAUUCCCUCCCUUUCUCUCCGCUCCCACCAGGAUCCGGGAAAAAGCUGAGGCGCAGGUCCCCUUCCCACACAGCCCGAGACACUGCUCUUUGGUGGGCGUCUCUGCCCGUGGGAAUCUCCCUCCGAGUUUUUCCAGGCUCGAUUGGGUUGCGCCCAGAAAGGUCCUCCGGAGGGCGGAGGUGGGCCCGGAACGGGUAGUACCGGCCAUCCGGCUGGAAAGGGCACGAAUCUGGUGAUUCAGGGUGCAAAUGGC